This 253-nucleotide ribosomal RNA is filed under the name uncultured bacterium. RNAcentral describes it as "partial 16S ribosomal RNA". It matches the Rfam family "Bacterial small subunit ribosomal RNA", at positions 524 to 776 of the family's 1533-position model. The record is from RNAcentral.
UACAGAGGGGGCAAGCGUUGUUCGGAAUUACUGGGCGUAAAGGGCGCGUAGGCGGCCUGUUAAGUCGGACGUGAAAUCCCUCGGCUCAACCGGGGAACUGCGUCCGAUACUGGCGGGCUUGAGUUCGGGAGAGGGAUGUGGAAUUCCAGGUGUAGCGGUGAAAUGCGUAGAUAUCAGGAGGAACACCGGUGGCGAAGGCGGCUCUCUGGACAAAUACCGACGCUGAGGCACGAAAGCUAGGGGAGCAAACAGG